GAACGCUGGCGGCGUGCCUACUACAUGCAAGUCGAGCGAACAGACGAGGAGCUUGCUCCUCUGACGUUAGCGGCGGACGGGUGAGUAACACGUGGAUAACCUACCUAUAAGACUGGGAUAACUUCGGGAAACCGGAGCUAAUACCGGAUAAUAUAUUGAACCGCAUGGUUCAAUAGUGAAAGACGGUUUUGCUGUCACUUAUAGAUGGAUCCGCGCCGCAUUAGCUAGUUGGUAAGGUAACGGCUUACCAAGGCAACGAUGCGUAGCCGACCUGAGAGGGUGAUCGGCCACACUGGAACUGAGACACGGUCCAGACUCCUACGGGAGGCAGCAGUAGGGAAUCUUCCGCAAUGGGCGAAAGCCUGACGGAGCAACGCCGCGUGAGUGAUGAAGGUCUUCGGAUCGUAAAACUCUGUUAUUAGGGAAGAACAAAUGUGUAAGUAACUAUGCACGUCUUGACGGUACCUAAUCAGAAAGCCACGGCUAACUACGUG
RNAcentral lists this ribosomal RNA (494 nucleotides) under uncultured bacterium. Its description in RNAcentral is "partial 16S ribosomal RNA". It matches the Rfam family "Bacterial small subunit ribosomal RNA", at positions 31 to 507 of the family's 1533-position model. The record is from RNAcentral.